CCUACGGGCGGCAGCAGUGGGGAAUAUUGGACAAUGGGGGCAACCCUGAUCCAGCCAUGCCGCGUGUGUGAAGAAGGCCCUCGGGUUGUAAAGCACUUUCAGUGAGGAAGAACGCCUGGUGGUUAAUACCCAUCAGGAAAGACAUCACUCACAGAAGAAGCACCGGCUAACUCCGUGCCAGCAGCCGCGGUAAUACGGAGGGUGCGAGCGUUAAUCGGAAUUACUGGGCGUAAAGCGCGCGUAGGUGGCUUGAUAAGCCGGUUGUGAAAGCCCCGGGCUCAACCUGGGAACGGCAUCCGGAACUGUCAAGCUAGAGUGCAGGAGAGGAAGGUAGAAUUCCCGGUGCAGCGGUGAAAUGCGUAGAGAUCGGGAGGAAUACCAGUGGCGAAGGCGGCCUUCUGGACUGACACUGACACUGAGGUGCGAAAGCGUGGGUAGCAAACAGGAUUAGAUACCCUGGUAGUC
This 465-nucleotide ribosomal RNA is filed under the name Vreelandella stevensii. Its description in RNAcentral is "partial 16S ribosomal RNA". It matches the Rfam family "Bacterial small subunit ribosomal RNA", at positions 338 to 795 of the family's 1533-position model. Lineage: Bacteria; Pseudomonadati; Pseudomonadota; Gammaproteobacteria; Oceanospirillales; Halomonadaceae. The record is from RNAcentral.